UACGAGGGGGGCAAGCGUUGUUCGGAAUCAUUGGGCGUAAAGGGCGCGUAGGCGGUCUGAUAAGUCUUGUGUGAAAUCUCUGGGCUCAACCCAGAGUCUGCAUAGGAAACUGUCGGGCUUGAGUAUGGGAGAGGUGCGUGGAAUUUCCGGUGUAGCGGUGAAAUGCGUAGAUAUCAGGAGGAACACCGAUGGCGAAGGCAGGUCUCUGGGCUGACACUGACGCUCAGGCACGAAAGCGUGGGGAGCAAACAGG
This 253-nucleotide ribosomal RNA is filed under the name uncultured bacterium. RNAcentral describes it as "partial 16S ribosomal RNA". It matches the Rfam family "Bacterial small subunit ribosomal RNA", at positions 524 to 776 of the family's 1533-position model. The record is from RNAcentral.